CCUACGGGUGGCAGCAGUCGAGAAUCAUUCACAAUGGGGGAAACCCUGAUGGUGCGACGCCGCGUGGGGGAAUGAAGGUCUUCGGAUUGUAAACCCCUGUCAUGUGGGAGCAAAUUAAAAAGAUAGUACCACAAGAGGAAGAGACGGCUAACUCUGUGCCAGCAGCCGCGGUAAUACAGAGGUCUCAAGCGUUGUUAGGAAUCACUGGGCGUAAAGCGUGCGUAGGCUGUUUCGUAAGUCGUGUGUGAAAGGUGCGGGCUCAACCCGCGGAUGGAACAUGAUACUGCGAGACUAGAGUAAUGGAGGGGGAACCGGAAUUCUCGGUGUAGCAGUGAAAUGCGUAGAUAUCGAGAGGAACACUCGUGGCGAAGGCGGGUUCCUGGACAUUAACUGACGCUGAGGCACGAAGGCCAGGGGAGCGAAAGGGAUUAGAUACCCGAGUAGUC
Molecule: ribosomal RNA, 446 nt
Filed under: uncultured bacterium
Lineage: Bacteria
Description: partial 16S ribosomal RNA
Rfam family: Bacterial small subunit ribosomal RNA
Source: RNAcentral